Molecule: ribosomal RNA, 253 nt
Filed under: uncultured bacterium
Lineage: Bacteria
Description: partial 16S ribosomal RNA
Rfam family: Bacterial small subunit ribosomal RNA
Source: RNAcentral
UACGGAGGGGGCUAGCGUUGUUCGGAAUUACUGGGCGUAAAGCGCACGUAGGCGGCUUUGUAAGUUAGAGGUGAAAGCCCGGGGCUCAACUCCGGAAUUGCCUUUAAGACUGCAUCGCUCGAAUUGUGGAGAGGUAAGUGGAAUUCCGAGUGUAGAGGUGAAAUUCGUAGAUAUUGGGAGGAACACCAGUGGCGAAGGCGGCGACCUGGGCCAAUAUUGACGCUGAGGUGCGAAAGCGUGGGGAGCAAACAGG